GAAUAUACAUGCUCAAUGAGGUGUUUUCCUUUCUUUAUUCUGGACACAGAGCACUGUGUCCCAGAGAAUGCUGCUGAUGUUUAAUUUGAUAAAUACUCAGGGACUUGAAAGCUGGGGAAGAGCAGGUGCUUGGCUAUCUUGGUAGCUGUGCAGGCAGACUGUCUAGAGUUUACAUUUACUUACUGAAAAAUUCAGUUCUGAUGCCUCAGUGAAGGUGGAAUAACAGCUCAACACCACAGGGCGCGAAGGUGUUAGUGUUAGUAAGGCCUGCUGUCUUCUAUUUUGGGUGCUGGUAGCACCGAUAAGCUGUAAGUAAGGAGUCACAGUACAAAUAUCUGGGGCAUGGUAGGAUUUGCUUUUUUAAAUAGACCUCCACAGCUAGCCUCUCUCAGACCUUGCUCCAGGGCUGGCUCAUACUCACGAUGUGUGCACCCAGGCACUGAAUGUGUAUGGGGGUGUUGGAGUGAUGAGCCAGCUGCCAAGGGAGCAAGCAGGUGAAGGUCAUUGUGGGUUUGAGAAGACGGAAUUCUAGAUCCCCUCACUCCCUGUUCCAGCCUACUGCAGGGGCUGCUGGGGUAGCCAUCAGAAGGAGUACAGCCAAAAGUGAGGGGGAAAAUUGUCAUCUGGAAGAGGAGCAGCACUUUGAGAAUUCAUUUCCUGGUCUGAGACCUCAGAUGGCUAGAAAAUACCAGCCGAUUAAACUAACAUCAGAAGAUCAAUGGAUGAUCUGAAGUCAACUGACUGUAGCCAACAUACCAGCAAUACUCCUAGGACAGCAGUGAUCUACCCAGCAUGCAGCAUCCAGCAACAGAAGGUCAGGACAAAAGGAAUAGUCACCUUGAAGAGACAAAAAUAGUAAGCUCCCAGGAUUCUGUUUGUUAGAAUACCAGAGUGUUGAAAGAGGCCAGGAUAUCAUUUCAGCUUUCUAGACUGAAAAUCAGCUGUGGGAGUGUACAGUCAAACCAGAAAGCUUAUGAAGAACAAAAACAGUAAAAACCAAAUAUAGACAGUUCUGUGAAUCUGUGAUCUUUUCUGUGAUGUUUCCUUGCUUGCUUGAUAGAACUGAGUUGAAACUAUUUACUGAGCUAAUUUAUACUAACAAUUAAUUUUGGGAACAAUAUGAGCCAUUUUUCUCAUUUUGAAUUUUAACCAAAAGAAGCCAUAUUUUGAGUAUUGGACACAAAAUCCAGAAAUCUUUGCUGAAUGCCUUAAAAAUGGAAUUGUGUAACUUUUCUGUUUUGAAACUUGUUUCCCUUUCAGAAUAAAGCAAAUCUUUUUCUUUCUUU
Non-coding RNA from Meleagris gallopavo (turkey), 1286 nucleotides. The record is from RefSeq and is a predicted model, not a curated record. NCBI's taxonomy places the organism in Eukaryota, Metazoa, Chordata, Aves, Galliformes, Phasianidae.